This 204-nucleotide unclassified non-coding RNA is filed under the name Hevea brasiliensis (rubber tree). The record is from RNAcentral. Lineage: Eukaryota; Viridiplantae; Streptophyta; Magnoliopsida; Malpighiales; Euphorbiaceae.
UUUGUUGCUUUAGAAGAACUUUCUCAAGAUUUUGUUGAUCAAAUAGCCUUCUUGCAGUAUUUCAAAGCCACAUGGGUGCCGAAAUUUGAAAUGUGGCUUACUACAAUGAAGACGUUACCUCUUGCGAGCCAGGAAGCAUCUGGUGCAAUUGAAGCAUAUCAUGUCAAGCUGAAAGUAAGACUAUAUGAUGAUUCACAUCUUGGA